AUGAUUCCCUUCCCCUCUCCCUGUAGGGAGCACAAUGGGAUUUUUCUCUGAUAUUUACAGGGAGAACCUGGAUAAUCUGGAGAUGAAUCUCACAAAAUUGUGGAGGCUCCCCUGUGACUGGGUACCCUGGAGUUUUUAACUCUCAGAGUUCCUUACACUGACCCUGAAGGAAUUACCCAAUUAUAGUUCAGGUUUUCCUACUCUGGCCUGGAUUCCUGUUGCAGUUUCCACUUGUGAAUCUCUGCUUUGGUUUAUGUUGGAGACGUUGUGGGUUUGGUUCCGGAGCACUGCAAUAAAGCAGAUGAUACAUGAUUUGUCUGCAAGUUUUUUCAUAUGGCAAGUCUCCAUAAAGUUUUCCAAUGUAUUUAUUAAAAAAUCUUCAUACAAAUGGACCCACAUUGUUCAAACCAGUGUUGAUCAAAGGUCAACCUUAAUAGUUCAACAUCAGUGGACGUAGCAGUGAAGAUAUUGAGGAACACAGGAUGCCCACUCACCAUUUUAAUCAACAUUGCAUGGGAGCUUUUAGUCAUUACAAUCAGG
This is a long non-coding RNA of Leopardus geoffroyi (Geoffroy's cat), 540 nucleotides long. RefSeq lists it as uncharacterized. Lineage: Eukaryota; Metazoa; Chordata; Mammalia; Carnivora; Felidae. The transcript is spliced from 4 exons. The record is from RefSeq and is a predicted model, not a curated record.